This 588-nucleotide ribosomal RNA is filed under the name Kryptoperidinium foliaceum. Its description in RNAcentral is "partial Bacterial large subunit ribosomal RNA". It matches the Rfam family "Bacterial large subunit ribosomal RNA", at positions 1275 to 1978 of the family's 2925-position model. The record is from RNAcentral. Lineage: Eukaryota; Dinophyceae; Peridiniales; Kryptoperidiniaceae.
GGAGUUAUCAGAAGUGAGAAUGCUGACAUGAGUAACGAUAAAGGGGGUGAAAAACCCCCUCGCCGGAAGACCAAGGUUUCCUGUCCCAUGCUAAUCAGGGCAGGGUUAGUCGGCCCCUAAGGCGAGGCCGAAAGGCGUAGUCGAUGGGAACCACGUUAAUAAUCGUGGGCCUGGUGGUAGUGACGGAUCUCGUGUGUUGUAUCUCCUUAUUGGAUUGGAGGUGCAGCGAAGAGGUUCCAGGAAAUAGCUCCACCGUAUAAACCGUACCCGAAACCGACACAGGUGGUCAGGUAGAGAAUACCAAGGCGCUUGAGAGAACUCUGUUGAAGGAACUCGGCAAAUUACUCCCGUAAGUUCGCGAGAAGGGAGCCUGGCAUCAGGCAACUGGUGUCCAGGGGCACAGACCAGGGGGUGGCGACUGUUUAUUAAAAACACAGGGCUCUGCGAAGUCGUAAGACGACGUAUAGGGUCUGACGCCUGCCCGGUGCCGGAAGGUUAAGAGGAGAGGUGCAAGCUUUGAAUCGAAGCCCCGGUAAACGGCGGCCGUAACGAUAACGGUCCUAAGGUAGCGAAAUUCCUUGUCGGGUA